AUACGGAGGGUGCAAGCGUUGUUCAGAAUCACUGGGCGUAAAGGGCGCGCAGGCGGUUUUACAAGUCAGAUGUGAAAGCCCACGGCUCAACCGUGGAAGUGCAUUUGAAACUGUAAGACUUGAGUAUCAGAGGGGAAGGUGGAAUUCCCGGUGUAGAGGUGAAAUUCGUAGAUAUCGGGAGGAAUACCGGUGGCGAAGGCGACUUUCUGGCUGAAUACUGACGCUGAGGCGCGAAAGCGUGGGGAGCAAACAGGAUUAGAUACCCUAGUAGUCC
Molecule: ribosomal RNA, 274 nt
Filed under: uncultured bacterium
Lineage: Bacteria
Description: partial 16S ribosomal RNA
Rfam family: Bacterial small subunit ribosomal RNA
Source: RNAcentral